CACAAUUUCUGGUUGUCCAUUCUUAUCUAUAGUGCAACCCUUGAUGGUGUGUGGUUUCUCCUUUCCUAGGUUGGGAAUACAUGUGACUAAUAAGUUGCUUGGAUCUCAUCUGCCUAAGUGUCAUGUGUUGUGUGUUUGCCAUCCCCAUAACCCUAGGGGACAGUUCUGCUCUCACCAGUGGGGUACAAAGGGGAAUGUGAAGAGGCCAAGGAAAUGCUUAGCAUGGGGCCAUGAGAGGGUUGUGAUGGAAAUGUCUGUGAAGUCCAGACGUGAGGAGUGUGCAGUUUAGAGAAUGGUGUGGUGGCCCCAGGUGCCUGGAGUUGAGUCAUACAGAGGAUUACCUGACACUAGCAUUGGAUGCUUUUUUGCCAAGCCCACAGUUGCAUGUCUCUUUGUGUCACUGCCCUUGUGCCUGGUGGCUGGACAAUCUUCAGGCCUAUGAGUAGACAGUGACACCAAUGACACCAGGGCCUGGUUUCUCCUCUGAGAUAUGGAGCUUGGAAGAAGAUGGGCAUGGGGUAGAUGAGGAUGGAUUGUGGAGCUUCAGGAGUGGACUGUUUAUGAUGUCAUCUCUCCCCACCUGGCAGGGCACUGUGACCUUUGAGGAUUGGAUUUCUGUUUCUCCUCAAGAGUGGAAUCUCCUUGAUGAGGUUCAAAGAUGCUUGUACCAUGAUGUGAUGGUGGGAAAACUGGCACUUAUACUUCUCUGGGUUGGUGGUGUGGAAUAGAGGAUGAGGAGGCAACUUCUGAGCAGAGUGUUUCUGUAAGAGGAAGUGUCACAGAUUAUGACUUCCAAGUCAGUUCUAUCUCUCCAAGAGAUCAACCUCUGUGAGAUGUGUGGCCUUAUCUUAAAAGACAUCCUUCACUUGGCUGAGCAUAAGGAAGCACACCACAAGCAGAAAAUGUGCAUGUGUUGAGCAUGUGAGAAACAAUUCUAUUUCAGUUCAAUUUUUCAGCAUAUUGAAGAGAAGCCAUUCAGAAGUGAUAUGGGCAGAACCUCAUUUGUGAAGAACUGUAAAUUCCAUGAACCAGGAAGGCCUUUAUACACAGGGAGGUUGGAAGUGAUUUCCUGUCCAGCUUGGAAUUUCUCCAUCAAGUCUUCUUCCUGUGGAAAAGUCAAAUAGCAAAACCAAGUAUGGUGCUGCCUCUCGCAGGAGAAAGCUCAUUGUAACUGGGAAGAAUGUGAUGAAGUGUUCAUCCCCAAACACACAUUUACUUGUUCAGCAUUAGAGAGUCCUCACUAGAGAAAGAUGUUACAUGUGCAGAGAGUGUGGGGAAUCCUUUACCCACAGCUCCAGUCUCAUUAAUACCAGAGUACACACUGGAGAAAGACCUUAUAAGUGCUCAGAGUGUGGCAAGUCCUUUAGCCAAAGCUCUAACCUCUUUCAACAUUGGGGAGUUCACACUGGAGAAAGGCCUUUAAGUGCUGUGAAUGCAGUAAAUCCUUUAGCCAGAGCUGCAGCCUCAAUAACCACUGGAAAGUUCACCCUGGAUAGAGGCCUUUUGAGUGUGGGGAAUGUGGGAAAUCUUUAUCCAAAGAUCCAACCCAAUCUAACAUUACAGAAUUCACACUGGACAAAGGCUUUUUAAGUGUAGUGAAUGUGGGACAUUCUUUAGCCAGAGCUCUGCACUCCCGCAACAGCAUAGUAUUCACACUGGAGAAAGGCCUUAUGAACGUGGGAAAUUCUUUACCUACAAUUCCAGUGUUCUAAACCACCAGAACAUUCCCACUGGGUGAAGGCCUUAUCAGUGCAGUGAAUGUAGGAAAUCCUUUGGUCAGUAUUGCAGCCUUAUUCUACACCUGAGAGUUCACCCUGGAGAAAGGUCUUGUGGGUGCAGUGAAUAUGGGAAAUCCUUUAGCCAAAGGUCUGUACUCCUUAAACACCACACAGUUCAUACUGAAGAAAGGCCCUAUGAGUGCAGUAAAUGUGUACUUUAACUUCAGUGACCAUAGGAGAGUUCACACUGGAGAAAGGCCCUAGAGGGUCUUAAGUGUGGAAAAUCUUAGCCAAAGCUCUGGCUUCAUUCAACACCAGAUUUCACUCUGGAGUAGGGCCUUAUAAAUGUUUUGAAUAUGAGAAAGCUAUCAGCCAAAUGCCUUUCCUCAGGUACCACAAAGUUCACAUGGGGAAGACACCUUAAUGUCCUGGAAGUGGGGCACUUUCUUGUUUAAUGCAAUGACACUGGAGGAAAUCCCUUAGGAUGCCAUUUGCCUGAACUGAACCUGAUUCAUUCACACGUCCACAUUGAUUCCAGGUGUGGGGGAAGCUUGAAGCUUUGUGCUGCACUUCUAAACCUGUCCAGGGUCUUUGCCCAAGCGUUAGUCACCUUCAGUACUGUAACUGGAGCCGUGUGGCCUCUAUCACCUGCCAGGCGCCCACAGUGUGUGUUGGUACUCCUUUUGCAUAGGGAAGUGGUUAGUCUUUGCUUUCCCAACCCAGAGCAGGAUUUGUGAGAUGACAGCAUUCACUCCCAACGUGUUAAGGUCUGGGUCUGACUCAGGUUUGGCCCCAAAGACCUGGUCUGAGUCCUGCUUGUGAAUUAAAAGAUGGACUACGUUUUCCAGAGAUUGUCUUUCAUGACCAGUGAUGAGUUUUGUGGCCUUUACCUGACCAACCUGAGAAAAACCUGCCUCUUGUUUCUCUGCUUUGUGUGAUGAUAAAUUUCUUUUCUAAAAAAUUGUAGAUAGACACAAUACCUUUUUUCGCUUAUUUAUUUUUAUGUGAUGCUGAGGAUUGAACCCAGUGCCUCACACAUGCUAGGCAAGCGUGCUACCACUGAGCUAUAACUGCGGCACCGAUGUCUUAUCUCUUAAGCCACCUUUAAUCCUGGGAGCCCUAUUCACUUUAUUGAGUGAUUUGAAAACAGGGAGAGUUCUGUCAUAAUGAAAGCAGCAGCAGCAUUUGAGAGCAUUCCACAUGUACGCCUCAGGGUAUUAUGGCAGAAAGUAAUUCUUCUGUUUGGGCUCGAUUUGUAUUUCUCCCCAAGCCUCCAAGGAAAGCACCAUGGACCUGACUUACAGCCUGGCUACUGUGGUACUUUGUGGCUUCUGAGCUCACUUGGGAGGUGUGACAACCUUCAGUACUUAUGUGAAAUUUCAGUACAGUGUGAAAUUUGUUCACA
This is a non-coding RNA of Ictidomys tridecemlineatus (thirteen-lined ground squirrel), 3123 nucleotides long. The record is from RefSeq and is a predicted model, not a curated record. NCBI's taxonomy places the organism in Eukaryota, Metazoa, Chordata, Mammalia, Rodentia, Sciuridae.